Mesocricetus auratus (golden hamster) is the source of this 1423-nucleotide long non-coding RNA. RefSeq lists it as uncharacterized. The transcript is spliced from 2 exons. NCBI's taxonomy places the organism in Eukaryota, Metazoa, Chordata, Mammalia, Rodentia, Cricetidae. The record is from RefSeq and is a predicted model, not a curated record.
CUGGCCUCAAACUCAAGAGAGAUCUGCCUGCCACAGCCUCUCAAGUGCUGGGAUUAAUGGUGUCUAGGAUUAAUGCCACCACUACCUGGCAUGUUUUAUUUUUUUCCUUUUCUUUUUAAGAGGAAAUCAUUCAGUUGAGAAAAGGCAUAUAGUAGGUCAUCUUGGUUCACAGACAGCUUCUCUCCUGAGGAGACUCUGAAACCAACAUAACUACCAAAUGAAACGGGGUGAGCCAGAGAUGAAUUAAUGGUAAUAGGCAACCUUUCCUAACAUCCUUUUUCUUCAGUUGCUAAUAGCCAGUUUCUACUUUUCAAUUCCCAGCUGCGCAGCUCUAGUCUGUGAGAAAGCUACAUAUUGGGUAAAUGAGCUAUAACAUGGACUGGAGUGUGUUUUAGUACAGUCCUGGUGAGAUAACACACGCCAAAGGGCCAGGGUACAUCUUCCUGCUAAUACUGCUACACUAAGCACAUGCUGCCUGCAGCCAGAGAGGCUCGUUCCAAGUCUGCAUCCCAGAUCACAGCUGUACCGCCCGCUCUAAGGGUUCCGGAUCAAGUUGUAGAAUGCUGCCUUUCCAGACAGUGCCACCCAUUUAGAGAUGCUUCAGUACACUGAUGCAACCUUACUGUGUGUCUUUCACAAUGCUACGACCAAGACUUAUUGUUUAUAAAGUGGUGAUGCUGGCUUGGUGCCUACUUUUCCACCCACUGCAAAUGAAUUAUAACCAAGUGAGCUGUUUUUGUUCUUGUCGUCUUGCUCCACUACUUAGACUUCCUAAUAAAAGCUUCUUACUCCGCUGUCCUUCAAGUGAUUAUCUUCUCACUCAAUUACUCUGGAAUGAGGUUCCUGAGAACCUCUCUCUGCUUUGUAGAACUCCUGUCUUCAAACCUUCUUCCUGUUCCCACUCUGGUCUAUCAGUGAGAGGAGAUGAGGUAAGGCACGGGCCAGGAAAGCAACUCAGCACCCAGUGGAGUGUGAGAGAACAGAUCUGAUGGGCAGUGUACUCAAAAUUCCGAGAAGGUAUGCAACUCACCACAGUACUGGAUGCCUGCAAUAAAUUCAAAAGAACUCACAGGAAAAGAAAACCUUUGUCAAAAGAUAUUUUACUGUUUUUGGAGCGUUGAAAGACUUGUCUAAGAAAGAUGGCUUUUAAAAUCAAUCAUGUAUUGGACAAGUUGGAAAGAGAAGAUCACCAAAAUGUCCUUUUAAACUUUAAGAAUGCAAGCUGUCUUCAAAUUCUUCCCUGUAGAUUUUUAGAGACAUUUUGGAGAAACUAGAUUGACCACUACAUGUUUCUAAAUCAACAUAUAUUUUCCAUUUGUAAUAGUUAAAAGGACAUUAUUUCUACAUACUUAACAUCAAUGUAAACACAGUACUUUGGUAGCUAACAUUUUUUAAUAAAAAUGAAAAGUUCUUAGAGACUUUA